This 468-nucleotide ribosomal RNA is filed under the name uncultured bacterium. Its description in RNAcentral is "partial 16S ribosomal RNA". It matches the Rfam family "Bacterial small subunit ribosomal RNA", at positions 28 to 507 of the family's 1533-position model. The record is from RNAcentral.
GACGAACGCUGGCGGUGUGCUUAACACAUGCAAGUCGAACGGAAAGGCCCUGCUUUUGUGGGGUGAUCGAGUGGCGAACGGGUGAGUAACACGUGAGUAACCUGCCCUUGACUUUGGGAUAACUUCAGGAAACUGGGGUUAAUACAGGACAGGAGCCCCUGCUGCAUGGUGGGGGUUGGAAAGUUUCGGCGGUUGGGGAUGGACUCGCGGCUUAUCAGCUUGUUGGUGGGGUAGUGGCUUACCAAGGAUUUGACGGGUAGCCGGCCUGAGGGGGUGACCGGCGACAUUGGGACUGAGGUACGGCCCAGACUCCUACGGUAGACAGCAGUGGGGAAUAUUGCACAAUGGGCGGAAGCCUGAUACAGCAACGCCGCGUUCGGGAUGACGGCCUUCUGGUUGUAAACCGCUUUCGCCUGUUACGAAGCGUGAGUGACGGUAAUGGGUAAAGAAGCACCGACUAACUACGUG